This 74-nucleotide transfer RNA is filed under the name Candidatus Sericytochromatia bacterium. RNAcentral describes it as "tRNA-Cys". It matches the Rfam family "tRNA". Rfam says of the family: Transfer RNA (tRNA) molecules are approximately 80 nucleotides in length. Lineage: Bacteria; Bacillati; Candidatus Sericytochromatia. The record is from RNAcentral.
AAGCGCAUAGUUCAAACAGGAAGAACAACGGCCUGCAAAGCCGUAAGUUGCCGGUUCGAGUCCGGCUGCGUUUU